UUCGUCCAGCGCUUCCAGCCCUUCUUCUGCGGCCCAUCGACAAGUCUACGGAAGCCCCAAUCAAAAGCUCUCCUUCGUGUUCUUCGUUUGACUUCGAUCGGCGCCGAGACUGUCUAGAUUCUGUAACGGUGUAUGUGGUUUAACGUUGUGGGAGACGAGUAUUCUCUUCUUAUCUCUCUUCCAGAUUGUUGAUCUCAAUCUAUAAAAAGGCUUGCUGCUGUUCUUCAACCGUCAAGGUCUCUGAUUUUGGGUAGCGAGCGCGGUGGAGAGCUGAAGGGUGUGGCCAUACACCUGCUAAGAUUGAUUCGUGGAUUUUGAUUUGUGCGUAAUCGACUAUGAUAUACAUCGACAACUUUGAGUGGAUGAGUAAUAGAGAUUAUAGGCUCAAACCGAAGCUGUCAAUCUUCUCUGCGGUGCCAAAAUCCAGUCAAAUCUAGAGAACACUGUGGAGAUCUUGACAGUGGCAGAGUUGCGGAUCUCUGUUUAGAUCGGCAGUUGAUUUCCCGACAACUGAGUUGGCGCUAGCAAAGAAACAACACAGCAGAACGAUGAAUGUGUCUUCGUCUUCUUAGAACUUUCGCAUUGGAUCUUUGACUAAAAAACUCUUGAUUUAGGUGAUUUGUGGUGUUGGACUUGAGGAUCUAAAGAGCAUAAACAUUAUAUCUAAAUCAAAAGAGGAGCUUGGCUAAGUGUUAAUACACGCCUUUCCUCUUCCUGGGCUUGGAAACUGAUUGGUUGAUGAGGAGAAGGAAGCCAUUCUUAGAGAUGUUUAGCACCAGUCACUUGCAAAACUGUAACACCAAGAAUCAACACCAAAGGAUUAUUGUUUUCACUGGAAGUCGAGUUGCUUUCUCAACAAUUGCUGGUAGUCCUUCAGCAUCUGGUUUAGGAAGGUCAAGCAGAAGACCAUCAGAUUCCAGUUGUUUAAGAAUGGUGAAUCAAGCUUGCUAAAUCAAAGGUUGUAUGAAAAAGCUCAAGGAAACGGAUCUUUUAAAUUUUGAAACUGUUAGAACCUGUUGUACCUUGCGGUCUCACCUGUUAGAAAGACGAUUAUAACUGGGGGAGGAGAUGCGACCUUAAGGUUCUGGAAUGUCUUACCAUCCCUGAAGUCUCAGUAUCAGGUGGGGAUCUGUGCUGAGCGUGGUCUGCUGGGUGUGACUACAUGUGCAACUAUGCUUGAAGAAAGAGUCAGAUCCAAUGCAAACCACCAAAACCAGGAUUCACUUCAACUGGUUGAAGGAACGUCUUGAUACUUGAAUUCCAUUUCAUCUUUUCGUAAGACCAAGGAGUUUGUUUAUAUCGUCACGUAAAAGGCUUAGGCUUUGCUUUGCUUAGGUUUCACAAUCGAGGUUUACAGUUAUCUUUUCUUUUUACUGAAUGUUUACAGUUAUCUUCUAUUUUUUUUCUGAACUACUGUCUAAAGUUAUCUUAAAGCAAUAAUAUUUAUUGUUUUUUUAAGUACACGACUAACCAUCUCUAUUACCCUUCUUUAAGUGGUACACCAGUUUCGAUAGGAAAGGUACUGACCAUUUACAAGUUUUGAUUUGCGUUUACCAGUUGCCACAUGCAUGAAAAACUGUGACAUGACUAGGAGAUCCUCAGAGUUAAUCAGUAAUCACGAACCUGUAAAUAUAAGUUUCCUGUCAUACAUUUAGGGUUAUGUUUUGGAGAGAGAUACGGCCUUCUUUGGUUUAGUUUAACAUAUAGUCCGCUUCAAAUUUCGGUGGUGUCAAUCACGGACCCGUUUCUUUUGGAUUCAAAGUUGCAUGCAUUUGUGUCUAAUGAUAUAUCAUGGUUAGUCACAGACGUAUUUCUUAGAUUCAUCGUUUGUUAAUGAAG
Raphanus sativus (radish) is the source of this 1839-nucleotide long non-coding RNA. RefSeq lists it as uncharacterized. Lineage: Eukaryota; Viridiplantae; Streptophyta; Magnoliopsida; Brassicales; Brassicaceae. The record is from RefSeq and is a predicted model, not a curated record. The transcript is spliced from 11 exons.